Small nuclear RNA from Cavia aperea (Brazilian guinea pig), 105 nucleotides. NCBI's taxonomy places the organism in Eukaryota, Metazoa, Chordata, Mammalia, Rodentia, Caviidae. The record is from Ensembl.
AGUGCCUACACUGGCAUUAUGUAAAUUAAAUCAGGUGCUACAGAAAAGAUUAGCAUGGACCUUGCACAAAGAUGACUUCAAAUUCAUGAAGCAUUCUACAGUUUU